CCCCAUUUCCCAUCUUCUCACCUCCCAAUUCCCAAAUUCUUCCCCCCCACUUCCAGCUUAUUACUCUCCCAUGGCUGCUUUGACUUCGAUUAACGGUGGCCGCUGUGAGGCCGGUGAAGUACAUGUCAUCAUUGGCCCCAUGUUUGCUGGCAAAACCACCGAUUUACUCCGUCGUAUCGAAUCUGAGAGCAGCAGUGGCAGAAAUGUGGCAAUGAUAAAAUCAAGCAAGGACACAAGAUAUGCAAACGAUUCGGUGGUCACACAUGAUGGCUUGAAAUUUCCUUGCUGGUCUUUGCCAGAUCUCUCCUCUUUCCAUCACAAGCUUGGAGAUGAUGAAUAUCACAAGCUUGACGUGAUUGGCAUUGACGAGGCUCAAUUUUUUGAAGAUCUUUAUGAAUUCUGUUGCAAGGCUGCUGAUCAUGAUGGGAAAACUAUAAUUGUAGCUGGCCUUGAUGGGGAUUAUUUGAGGAGGAGCUUCGGAUCUGUGCUUGAUGUAAUACCUCUUGCUGAUACUUUAACAAAGCUGACAGCAAGGUGUGAACUUUGUGGCAAGCGAGCCUUCUUUACCUUGAGGAAGACAGCAGAGACCCAGACAGAAUUGAUUGGAGGAUCUGAUGUCUACAUGCCUGUUUGCCGCCAGCACUAUGUCAGUGGGCAAGCAGUCAUAGAAUCAACAAGGAACGUCCUUGAAUCCUAUAAGGUUCCAACUGACUCCCAUAUUUAGGUAGCUGCAGUCAUGUAAUGUGCUGACUGGGAGCCCACGCGUGGCUUUUCCAUUAGUUAUCUAUUUUAUCUGCAGAUUGCAGUUUAUGUACAAUGCUGAAUUGGGGGCUUCCAUGGUUCCAGAUAAGUUGAAAACAUCAAUAGAGACAUGAGUUAUGACGAGAAAUAAAAGCUCAGUACAAACCUUCAGAGCCUACGUCUAGAGAAACCGGGCAGCAUUGCACAGGCAAUAUAAAAGAGGAGUUCAUCACUCUCCCAACAUGAUGAGAGCUGGAUAGGCCUGUUACCAACUAUAUGAAGAGUUUAAGCAAGAAUAAGAGAAAAGAUGAACUUGCCAUUCAACAGAAGGUCUCAACACUAGUUGUUAGGCUGUUAUUCACACAUGGGAAAGUGAAUUCUCUGGAUGGGUAAACCUCUUCUUAUUCGAGCAAGAAACUAACACCAUCCGGUGUUCAAGAUCCAGAUCUCUAUCGAGAUUGUUGAGCCUGAUGAGAUGAUUUGAUAACAUGGGAUUCUUGGAUACAAUUGAAUUCAAGAUGGUGCCUAGGGUUCAUGUUUGAAAAAGAGAUGAUCUAAUCACAUUUAUUUUCUUUUUUUAAUAUAACAAUAUACAUUUUGAAUGACGAUUGUAUUUUAUUUUUAAUGAUUAGCACAAUCACAGAGUAAUCAAUUGGAUUACUUGAUAAUAAGUUAAACUAUAUAUUACGAUAUAAUAAAUAUAAAUGUUUUAUAGUA
Populus nigra (black poplar) is the source of this 1458-nucleotide RNA transcript. It is a transcript of the gene named thymidine kinase a-like, with no coding region annotated. The record is from RefSeq and is a predicted model, not a curated record. The transcript has 6 exons. Lineage: Eukaryota; Viridiplantae; Streptophyta; Magnoliopsida; Malpighiales; Salicaceae.